Molecule: long non-coding RNA, 390 nt
Organism: Salvia hispanica
Lineage: Eukaryota; Viridiplantae; Streptophyta; Magnoliopsida; Lamiales; Lamiaceae
Source: RefSeq, a predicted model, not a curated record
GUUUCGCUCUGACUGUGAUAUCACCCAACGAUUCGGGGUGAUGAGUCUUUUCUGGAGUUUUGUUGGGGAUCGAACUCAUGCUCAGCCGCAGGAACUCCGCAAAUUGUGCGGCGAGUUCCGCAGGGAAGGGUGAAGGGUUUGGGAUUGAAAAGAAGGUUGGGAGAGGUAUAUUACGGGCGGUGAUGAAAUUUUUCUGAGCCCGAACCUGCUCGUGAUACCACAUUGAAAGAAGAUGUAGGAGACAAUGUAUUGUGUUGUGUAUUCAUUAGAAUGAUCCAUCCCCCUUAAUAUAGGAGUUGUUACACUGUAAUUACGGCAUACAAUCAUUCUAAUUCUUAGGCAAAUAUGCUCCCUAUCAAUUACCUAUCAAUUACAUAUUUCCUCCUUUAA